GACGAACGCUGGCGGCGUGCCUAAUACAUGCAAGUAGAACGCUGAAGGAGGAGCUUGCUUCUCUGGAUGAGUUGCGAACGGGUGAGUAACGCGUAGGUAACCUGCCUGGUAGCGGGGGAUAACUAUUGGAAACGAUAGCUAAUACCGCAUAAGAGUAGAUGUUGCAUGACAUUUGCUUAAAAGGUGCAAUUGCAUCACUACCAGAUGGACCUGCGUUGUAUUAGCUAGUUGGUGGGGUAACGGCUCACCAAGGCGACGAUACAUAGCCGACCUGAGAGGGUGAUCGGCCACACUGGGACUGAGACACGGCCCAGACUCCUACGGGAGGCAGCAGUAGGGAAUCUUCGGCAAUGGACGGAAGUCUGACCGAGCAACGCCGCGUGAGUGAAGAAGGUUUUCGGAUCGUAAAGCUCUGUUGUAAGAGGAGAACGAGUGUGAGAGUGGAAAGUUCACACUGUGACGGUAUCUUACCAGAAAGGGACGGCUAACUACGUGCCAGCAGCCGCGGUAAUACGUAGGUGGCAAGCGUUAUCCGGAUUUAUUGGGCGUAAAGAGAGUGCAGGCGGUUUUCUAAGUCUGAUGUGAAAGCCUUCGGCUUAACCGGAGAAGUGCAUCGGAAACUGGAUAACUUGAGUGCAGAAGAGGGUAGUGGAACUCCAUGUGUAGCGGUGGAAUGCGUAGAUAUAUGGAAAGAACACCACUGGCGAAGGCGGCUACCUGGUCGCGACUGACGCUGAGACUCGAAAGCGUGGGUAGCGGAAAAGGAUUAAAUACCCUGGUAGUCCAAGGCGGAGUCCACAGUGGAGAUGAGGCGCACCGAUCCGCGCGGACCUCCAGGGGGGGCGGGGGCGGCCGGUGGUGGCCACAACCCUGUCCCAUGAUUAUU
Molecule: ribosomal RNA, 886 nt
Filed under: uncultured Streptococcus sp.
Lineage: Bacteria; Bacillati; Bacillota; Bacilli; Lactobacillales; Streptococcaceae
Description: bacterial SSU rRNA
Rfam family: Bacterial small subunit ribosomal RNA
Source: RNAcentral